UUGCCGACACGUGGACGUGCAGUUUAUAAUCAGGUACGGCUUGAUUUGUCACUGCAUCGUGUUUACUUGCGCAUUUUUUCAUGCAAGAAAAUCCCUGAAAACAUGUCUGCUGAGAUUACAGAGGGGAUUUAUUUACAAUUUUUAUUAAAUUAAUUGUUCAUUUGAGUGGUGUGCAUUGAACAGGAUGCGCUUUCAUGUCUCAUUUGUGGAAUUUUAGCCUUGUUCUUGAAACUAAUGACACUUUUGAAAAGCUAUAGGGUUUUGUUGUCUACUGUGGCUGAUACAGUCUGUGUACUCAGGGUGUGAUAAAGUUCAUGAUAAUGUGGUUAAGAUGUACUUUUUCUGCACACUUUUAGAAAGAGUACUGUCGCCAAAGAUGAGAAGAAGAAAAACGUCCAGCAGAUAAUCCAAAAGAGGAGUUGCUUUCAGCUAAAGAUCCAUGUCACACUGCCCAGCAUUGAGUGUACGGUGGAGUGAGAUCCUACCUGCAGGAGCCUGAUGCUGCUUGCUACAAGGACAGGUGCCCCCACAUCUCAGCAACCUGCAAGACAAUAUUUGACUUAACUGUCCACUCAAAGACAGGGGGUUUCCAUCUGUCUGACCAUGCAGGACAUGUUUUCACUUGGUAGAGAUCCUCUCUGGGAUUUUAGGAAUGUUGAGACGUGCUGGUUAUGAAGCUCUAAGUACAAAAUGGUCACGGAUGGCUGGAAUGAGGCAUGUUCUAAUGGAAACAAAUCACUUGUCACUGGUAAAAUGUGGUUUGAUUGUGCACUGACUACCACAGGCAAUGCUUAUUCUGAGGUCUGAUACCUGCUCACAGGUCUGAUAUCUGGCGGUAAGUGGUGGCAUUGUUUGCCUUCCAUUUUUGCAUUCCAAUUCCACUGGCCUUUGCCUAGGUGUCCUUCAGCCCACUCUCCCACUCUGAUUCUUCCUGAACAUGCUGCUGAGAAGCAAAGUGUGCUGCAGCCACUUGGGCAGAGAGAAAGGCUCCUUUUGGGCACACAGAUGCAUCAGACUUCCUCUUAGGUUUCAGUAUAAAUUAAAAUGACCUCUCUGCCAAUUGACUGUAAUGACUUCCACAGUCUUCACCACUGUAUUGAAACCAAGGCUUCCCACAUAUUUCUUCCCACAAGAGUUGUCCAAGGGAGCUACACCAGCAAUCUGUGCCCUCCAGCUGCAGGUAGAAGAGCAUGUCUGACUAACUUCUUUAGUGUGGACAUGGUAAUUGACACACAAUGAUUUUAAUGAUAAGACUGGGUGUAGUCCAUGUCCAUUCUCAGCUUUGCGCAUUUCCAUCUUCAAAGUUUUAAAAUAUAUCAUGAAUAGCAGUGGAUUCCAAGGAAUUCUAGUUAUAAAUCCACUAAAUAUUGUUAGUUCCAUUGGCUUUGGUCAGCUCCUCCUUGUCUCCAGGAGUGAGGGCUGUGCACCAUGCUUGAACACUAAUUAUCCUCAGUAGGCAAAUGGCUGGAAAUGACAUUUUAAACAGGGGAAGUCUCCCAACACGAAUUGAUAUAGUGAGGAGCUCAACAGCAGGGAGAGGGAAUAUUUGUCAUAUGCUAUCCUGUCUUCCUAAACACAACUUCACAUUGAUGUAAAAAUAGUGAAAAAUUUUACCCAACAAUGAACAGGGACUCUAACUAAUCCCCCUUCUUCAUUCUUUAGAAGAUAGAAUAUCUCUCUAGUAUGCCCAAUGAUUGCAUACUGAAGAGGAUGCUAUUUCCCUUCAAUGGGCAUAGAAGUUUCUUUCCUCCUAAUCCUUACAUGGUUUGGAUACAUCCUUUUUCAUACAUUUGCCUUUUUGCAUUGCUAGAUGAUUAUUUUUUUAAUUGCUGAUGAGUGUGUGAACUUGUUGUUUUCUAUAUGCCGUGUUAAUUCUGUGAUAUUUACGCAUGGCUAAAUGGAAAGUGUCUUGGCUGAAGAUCUUUUUCGGUGUUGUUUUUUGUUGGUUUUUUUUUGUUUGUUUGUUUGUUUGUUUGUUUUCUGGUAAGAAGACAGUUAUUUUGGGUUUCUUGGUGCGUUUUGGAGAUGUGUGCCUUAAAGUUACUUCUAAAACCUUGAAACAGGAAAGGAUAGCACAAUUUAAAGCAUGUGUUGCCAUGCAUUUGCUACCCUCUUGCUUACAGCUUGCAGCAGGUGAAAAAGGAAUAAUGGGUGACUAAGAAUGCAAUAAAGGAAAGAAGU
This is a long non-coding RNA of Catharus ustulatus (Swainson's thrush), 2181 nucleotides long. RefSeq lists it as uncharacterized. Lineage: Eukaryota; Metazoa; Chordata; Aves; Passeriformes; Turdidae. The record is from RefSeq and is a predicted model, not a curated record. The transcript is spliced from 5 exons.